CCUACGGGAGGCUGCAGUGAGGAAUAUUGGUCAAUGGGCGAGAGCCUGAACCAGCCAAGUCGCGUGAGGGAGUACUGCCCUAUGGGUUGUAAACCUCUUUUGUCGGGGAGCACAAGCCGGACGUGUCCGGCUGUGAGAGUACCCGAAGAAAAAGCAUCGGCUAACUCCGUGCCAGCAGCCGCGGUAAUACGGAGGAUGCGAGCGUUAUCCGGAUUUAUUGGGUUUAAUGGGUGCACAGGCGGAUUUUUAAGUCCGCGGUCAAAUCGUGGGGCUCAACCCCAUCCAGCCGUUGAAACUGGGGAUCUAGAGUGUGCGAGAGGUAGGCGGAAUUCGUGGGGUAGCGGUGAAAUGCUUAGAUAUCACGAAGAACUCCGAUUGCGAAGGCAGCCUACUAAACUGCCACUGACAUUGAUGCUCGAAAGUGUGGGUAUCAAACAGGAUUAGAUACCCGAGUAGUC
This 458-nucleotide ribosomal RNA is filed under the name uncultured bacterium. Its description in RNAcentral is "partial 16S ribosomal RNA". It matches the Rfam family "Bacterial small subunit ribosomal RNA", at positions 338 to 795 of the family's 1533-position model. The record is from RNAcentral.